RNAcentral lists this ribosomal RNA (232 nucleotides) under uncultured bacterium. Its description in RNAcentral is "partial 16S ribosomal RNA". The stretch from base 29 to 232 matches the Rfam family "Bacterial small subunit ribosomal RNA", at positions 547 to 747 of the family's 1533-position model. The record is from RNAcentral.
UAGCGGGGGGGUGCGAGCGUUUGUUCCGGAAAUCACUGGGCGUAAAGGGCGCGUAGGUGGCCUGAUAAGGGUGUGGUGAAAGUCCGGGGCUCAACCCCCGGAUCUGCCGUGCCGACUGUUGGGCUGGAGUACUGUAGGGGCAGGCGGAAUUCGGGUGUAGCGGUGGAAUGACGUAGAGAGUCCGGAGGAAGACCGGUGGCGAAGGCGGCCUGACUGGGCAGUUACUGACGCU